CUGCGGAGGGAUCAUUACCGAGUGUAAAAACUCCCAAACCAUUGUGAACCUACCACUGUUGCUUCGGCGGCCUCGCCCCGGGCGCGUUCGCGCGGCCCGGACCCAGGCGUCCGCCGGAGGCUCCAAACUCUUGUCUUUUAGUGUAUUUCUGAGUGGCAUAAGCAAAUAAAUCAAAACUUUCAGCAACGGAUCUCUUGGUUCUGGCAUCGAUGAAGAACGCAGCAAAAUGCGAUAAGUAAUGUGAAUUGCAGAAUUCAGUGAAUCAUCGAAUCUUUGAACGCACAUUGCGCCCGCCAGUAUUCUGGCGGGCAUGCCUGUCUGAGCGUCAUUUCAACCCUCAGGACCCGUUCGCGGGACCUGGCGUUGGGGAUCAGCCUGCCCCUGGCGGCGGCUGGCCCUGAAAUCCAGUGGCGGUUCCCUCGCGAACUCCUCCGUGCAGUAAUUAAACCUCUCGCGGCAGGAUAGCGGUUGAACCACGCCGUUAAACCCCCCACUUCUCAAGGUUGACCUCAGAUCAGGUAGGAAUACCCGCUGAACUUAAGCAUAUCAAUAAGCGNAGGAA
Molecule: ribosomal RNA, 562 nt
Filed under: Acremonium alternatum
Lineage: Eukaryota; Fungi; Ascomycota; Sordariomycetes; Hypocreales; Bionectriaceae
Description: eukaryotic LSU rRNA
Rfam family: 5.8S ribosomal RNA (bases 175-328)
Source: RNAcentral